AUUGAACGCUGGCGGCAUGCUUUACACAUGCAAGUCGAACGGCAGCGCGGGCUUCGGCCUGGCGGCGAGUGGCGAACGGGUGAGUAAUGCAUCGGAACGUGCCCAGUAGUGGGGGAUAGCCCGGCGAAAGCCGGAUUAAUACCGCAUACGACCUGAGGGUGAAAGCGGGGGACCGAAAGGCCUCGCGCUAUUGGAGCGGCCGAUGUCGGAUUAGCUAGUUGGUGGGGUAAAGGCUUACCAAGGCGACGAUCCAUAGCUGGUCUGAGAGGACGACCAGCCACACUGGGACUGAGACACGGCCCAGACUCCUACGGGAGGCAGCAGUGGGGAAUUUUGGACAAUGGGGGCAACCCUGAUCCAGCCAUGCCGCGUGCGGGAAGAAGGCCUUCGGGUUGUAAACCGCUUUUGUUCGGGAAGAAAUCCUCUGGGCUAAUACCCCGGGGGGAUGACGGUACCGGAAGAAUAAGCACCGGCUAACUACGUG
This 484-nucleotide ribosomal RNA is filed under the name uncultured bacterium. Its description in RNAcentral is "partial 16S ribosomal RNA". It matches the Rfam family "Bacterial small subunit ribosomal RNA", at positions 29 to 507 of the family's 1533-position model. The record is from RNAcentral.